RNAcentral lists this long non-coding RNA (1249 nucleotides) under Nicotiana tabacum (common tobacco). RNAcentral describes it as "long non-coding RNA (NTAB_LNC016580)". Lineage: Eukaryota; Viridiplantae; Streptophyta; Magnoliopsida; Solanales; Solanaceae. The record is from RNAcentral.
AUGGUUCACCAUCGGAGCGGACUAGUUCUUUGAGCAUCUCCCAUGGGAUGCAUUGCCUGAGUUUGUUUAAAUGAUGGUCAGGCAGCUUAAUCCCGCCUUCAUAGAGCUUGAGUACGUCUUCAAAGCUAUCAAACUCGUUGAAGGUUUUGUCAAAUAAAGCAACAAUCUCAGGAAUGAGGACCUGACCCAGAGAUUUAACAGCAUAUGCAAGGAAAUCUGAAAGCUUCACAUGAGUGAAACGUUCAUCCCGUGGAACAUAUAUGUUCAAACCUAAAGGUGGCAACCGGCUCUCUGAGUUAGGAUCUGCCAAGACAAAAGGAACAUCAGCUGCUUAUUAUCCAUAGUACUUAAUUAGUUUUUAAUUCACUUUAUUCUAUUAAGUUUCUACAACAAUGUAAAUCAUAUCAUUUUAAUGUUACGUCUUUGAUUUAUUUGUGAUCUACCUGUUUUAGUUGGUCGACGGCUUGUCCUGCCUCUACGAGGAUAUGGGUAUUCCUUCGACCCACCAAGCACAGGACGAGCAGAUUCUGGCCCCUUAUCUGGAAAUCCUAGAUCAUUGUAGAAUGCAUAAUCAUACACUCUGUCCCACUCCUUGAGCAUGCCUGAACCGCUUCCACGAAGAUUAAGAAGCUCCUCUUCCCUGUAUGGUCGGAGGGGUUCCGGUGUGUUGCUUGGCAGGUAUGUCUGGAAAACCAGCAAUUUUGAUUUCAGCAUAUCGUAUCAUAUUUUGAACUUAUCAACUCUAUACAACUGUUUAGUUAUCAUAACUAGAAAAAGUACGAGUAUCAGGAAGUCAAUAUGUAGCUAUCCUAUCAAGGUUGCCAUGGUUGUUCACUUAUCCUAAUCUAGUUUGAGAAAGAAUUUUCAUAGCUUUUGUCUAUUUAGAACAAGAAUGAACUUUUUAGGCUCUCAAAGAGGAUCCAAAGAGAAUGCCCUAAAAAGUUUUACAUGCAUAAAAAUUCACGAAGCUUCAUCAGUAUGUGUCUGGUUAUUGCUCUAGUUUGCCUCGCCAGCUUACUUUUCUUACUUAACUCACACUAGUAUUGUUAAUCUAAUGUUAGAGAUACCUUGUUUGAAAAAAAUACUCGGUUGUAUUUGUAGCGAUGUGCUGGAUACACCCAUGAAUUACACACAAAAUGAAGUUGACCAUGUCCAGGAACAUCUUCUAAAAUGACUGUCCUGAGGUAAAACUGGCUGUGGUGAUAGUUUUUGAUUAUGAAAGCUCCAGGAACUCCCAUGGACUCAUCCC